RNAcentral lists this ribosomal RNA (464 nucleotides) under uncultured bacterium. RNAcentral describes it as "partial 16S ribosomal RNA". It matches the Rfam family "Bacterial small subunit ribosomal RNA", at positions 36 to 507 of the family's 1533-position model. The record is from RNAcentral.
UCCUCCCUCUUUCUUCGUGCUUCCCCCCUGCACGUCGACCGGUAAGGCCCCAGCUUGCUGGGGUACACGAGUGGCGAACGGGUGAGUAACACGUGGGUGACCUGCCCUGCACUUCGGGAUAAGCCUGGGAAACUGGGUCUAAUACCGGAUAGGACCGCACCGUGAGGGUGUGGUGGAAAGUUUUUCGGUGUGGGAUGGGCCCGCGGCCUAUCAGCUUGUUGGUGGGGUAAUGGCCUACCAAGGCGGCGACGGGUAGCCGGCCUGAGAGGGUGGACGGCCACAUUGGGACUGAGACACGGCCCAGACUCCUACGGGAGGCAGCAGUGGGGAAUAUUGCACAAUGGGCGGAAGCCUGAUGCAGCGACGCCGCGUGGGGGAUGACGGCCGUCGGGUUGUAAACUCCUUUCACCAUCGACGAAGGUUUUCUGACGGUAGAUGGAGAAGAAGCACCGGCUAACUACGUG